GUCAGGUGCAGAGCCAAGUACAGAGAACAGGACUGUGAAGACAGUAUCUGGAGGAUCUGACCCCUAUUAGCAUAGCCUGGAAACAGCUGGACCAGGGAGAAUAGGGCCCAGGCACUGUGAACACACAUGUGUCCCCAGUCCUCAUCAUGGCCACUUGUCUAGACUCCAGAAUCUAAACACUCAAAACCAAGACAUAAGUUCAGAGACAAAUUAAGCUAGUAUUAAUAUUACAGAAAUAAGAGUUUUAUGACCCUAAAACAUCAACUAGAGACAAUAUAAACCAGUCUGACCAACAGACCCAGGCAAACAUGUCUGAAUUAAAUUUUGAAGAUGUUUUUAUUUUAUUUUACUAAUAAUUUUUAAACUAGCUUUAUUUAUUAAAGAUUUCUAAAAUCACACUAACUUGAAAGUAUUUGGACAUACUUACGUUAUGAGUACUUAUUAAUUUAUGUCAAUCUGGUACCAUGUACACAAUAUGCAAACACAGACAUGUACAUAUGUGCACAGAAAAAUACACAAAUAUAGAUUUUGUAGCUUUCGUUUAAAAAUUUUAGCCGUGAAACAGGUAAAACUCACUAGUUUAAAAGGAUAGUUAAAUUUUGCCUCUGUAAAUGGAAUGGGUUAAAGUUUGUUCCACAUGGCUAGAAGCCCUUAUCACAUUUUGGAGUAAACAAGGUAGCAAAUUUACAUAUUAAAACACAGAGAGAAUUUAAGCUCUUUAAAGAAGUUUGGGUAUAUUAAAGGAAGAUUAAAAAUGGGUAUCAAGGUAAAAUCAUAGGAAUAAAAAUAAAUCAUAAGAAUUUACCAUAAGAUUUUACAAGGAAACCAAUUUUAUUUAUCAGUUAGUUUUAAAUUUAGUCUUCAUUUUCCAACUAGGCCACUGAGCUCAGGGCAGAACCCAAUAACAAACGGAGCGAAAAAAGCAUAUGUAGUUUUCAGGGACUGCUGUGGUUUGUUUAUCCCCACGAAGUCUCAUGUUGAAAUUUGAUUUCUAACAUUGGAGGUGGGGCCUGAUGGCAAGUGUGUGGAUUGUGGAGGUAAAUCCCUCAUGGAUGGCUUGGUACCAUUCUCAUGGAAGUAAAUGAGUUCUCUAACCCUUUGUUCCUGUGAGAACUGGUUGUUGAAAAGAGCCUGGCACCUUCUCCUCUCUCUUGCUUCAGCUCUGUCACCAUGUGAGCUCUGUACAUGCCAGCUCCCUUCCUUUUCUUUUUCUUUUUUUUUUUUUUUUUGAGACAGAGUCUUGCUCUGUCACCCAGGCAUGCAGUUGCACGAUCUUGGCUCACUACAACCUCUGCCUCCCAGGUUCAAGCAAUUCUCCUGCCUCAGCCUCCCAAGUAGCUGGGAUUACAGGUGUGUGCCACCCCACCUGGCUAAUUUUUGUAUUUUUAGUAGAGAUAGGGGUUUCACCAUGUUGACCAGGCUGAUCUCGAACUCCUGAACUCAGGUGAUCCGCCUGGCUUGGCCUGCUGAAGUGCUGGGAUCACAGGUGUAAGCCACCACACCCCGCCUACCCUUCCUUUUUUACUAUGAGUGGAAUCAGCCUAAAGCCAUUGUGAUGGUUAAUAUUGAGUGUCAACUUGAUGGGAAUUGAAGGAUGCAAAGUAUUGUUCCUGAGUGUGUCUGUGAGGGUGUUGCCAAAGGAGAUUAACAUUUGAGUCAGUGAACUGAGAGAGGCCACCCCACCCUCAAUCUGAGUGGGCACCAUGUAAUCAGCUACCAAUGUGGCUAGAAUAAAAGCAGGCAGAAGAACGUGGAAGGACUUGACUUGCUGAGUCUUCCAGCCUUCAUCACUCUCACAUGGUGGAUACUUCCUGCCCUUGAACAUCGGACUCCAAGUUCUUCAGCUUUUGGACUCUUGGACUUACACCAGUGGUUUGCCAGGGGCUCUCUGGACUUUGGCCACAGACUGAAGGCUGCACUGUUGGCUUCCCUGCUUUUCAGAUUUUGGGACUUGAACUGGCUUCCUUGCUCCUCAACUUGCAGAUGGCCUAUUGUGGGACUUCACCUUGUGAUUGUGUGAGUCAAUACUCCUUAAUAAACUCUCCUUCCUAUAUACAUCUAUCCUAUAAGUUCUGUCCCUCUAGAGAACCCUGACUACUACAGCCAUCAUCAGAAGCAGAUAGUAGAUCCAUGCUUCAUGUGCAGCCUCCAGAAUGAUGCCUUGGAUGAUCCUUUGAAGGAAGAUCAUUUAGUCCAAUUUAAUGAAACCGAUAUCCUUCGCGUACUGACGGAAACACUGGGGGCACAUAUUGAGGCCAUAUUUCUGGAUCAGACCCUGCCGGUUUGAACAGACGCGACAAGAGCGAGAACCCUGGCCGAAUUUUCGCGGGUGGCUCCAGUACAGCUGCUGGUGACCCACCUUGCUCUCAGGAGUGCAAUGAGGAACCUUGACAUUAGUUUCACCUCUCCUCUGGGGCUGAGAGAUGGGAAAGAAGCGUCAAGAACUUGAACAGAAAUCCAGCUCUCAGUACAUUGCAAGACGAGGUCUCACUAUGUUGCCCAGGCUGAUCUUGAACUCCUGGGUUCAAGAGAUCCACCCAUCUCAGCCUCCCAAAGCGCUGGGAUUACAGGUGUGAGCCACCGUGCCCAGCCCUGAUGCAUUUUCUGAAAGCUCUUCAGAAGCAAGUAAAUUGCUAAAGUAUUGUGUCUCCUAAAACGUUCAUGGAAAGGAUAGAAAGGACCCUGACAUCAUUUGCGCUGGAAACCCUGAGACAAAGUCAGAAAGAUCUGGAAAGACCUGCCAGAGGAAAUCUGCCACCCCUCUGGACUAGGAGACUUCAUCUACAUAAAAGUGGGCUGUCACCAUGCUGGGAGGGACCCUUUAAAGUGCUGUCGAUGACCCAUAAGGCUAUCAGUGCAAAAGGCAAACUGCUGAAUCCAGGCUUCCUAUGUGAAGCUAGCACCACAGGACAGGGCCUGGGAGUCAUCUUUUUGAAAUGCAAACAUCACGGAAGAUAGUGUCCCUAUCUCAGGUAAGAGCCUAACUUGGUGGGCUCCUUGCUCCAAUUUGCAAAACUACCUUCUGUCAUAAAGAUAUGGGAAGUUUGUUUUUCUCCAAAUAAAGCCAACACAGGUGGUCUCCCCAAUUACCAAAAUAAAGUUAGGACAAACUCUGUGUGACAAAAGGUGUUGUCAAGUCCUCUAACUUGAGGACUAGUGAUUGUUAAUCUUGAGAACACGUAUGCACUGGGGUGUAUCUGCUGCCUAUGUAAGGGGAUGAGAUUCCUUUCUGUCUUUGGAAUCUCUUGGCAAUUGCCUGUGAGACCCAUCACAUCCUGGUUUAUGGUUAUUCAAUAAUAAAAGUGGCUUGCAUAAGAGCGUGAAGGAUAAACUUAAAAGAAAACUAACAGUAAAGGUGGUUUGUUUCUCUACUACCUUUGUGGAGAAGAUUUCUGGUUAAUUAUAUUUCCCCC
RNAcentral lists this long non-coding RNA (3413 nucleotides) under Homo sapiens (human). RNAcentral describes it as "HSALNT0017911". Lineage: Eukaryota; Metazoa; Chordata; Mammalia; Primates; Hominidae. The record is from RNAcentral.